Molecule: ribosomal RNA, 497 nt
Filed under: uncultured bacterium
Lineage: Bacteria
Description: partial 16S ribosomal RNA
Rfam family: Bacterial small subunit ribosomal RNA
Source: RNAcentral
GAUGAACGCUGGCGGCGUGCCUAAUACAUGCCAGUCGAGCGAACAGACGAGGAGCUUGCUCCUCUGACGUUAGCGGCGGACGGGUGAGUAACACGUGGAUAACCUACCUAUAAGACUGGGAUAACUUCGGGAAACCGGAGCUAAUAUCGGAUAAUAUAUUGAACCGCAUGGUUCAAUAGUGAAAGACGGUUUUGCUGUCACUUAUAGAUGGAUCCGCGCCGCAUUAGCUAGUUGGUAAGGUAACGGCUUACCAAGGCAACGAUGCGUAGCCGACCUGAGAGGGUGAUCGGCCACACUGGAACUGAGACACGGUCCAGACUCCUACGGGAGGCAGCAGUAGGGAAUCUUCCGCAAUGGGCGAAAGCCUGACGGAGCAACGCCGCGUGAGUGAUGAAGGUCUUCGGAUCGUAAAACUCUGUUAUUAGGGAAGAACAAAUGUGUAAGUAACUAUGAACGUCUUGACGGUACCUAAUCAGAAAGCCACGGCUAACUACGUG